RNAcentral lists this ribosomal RNA (431 nucleotides) under uncultured bacterium. RNAcentral describes it as "partial 16S ribosomal RNA". It matches the Rfam family "Bacterial small subunit ribosomal RNA", at positions 29 to 505 of the family's 1533-position model. The record is from RNAcentral.
AAUGAACGCUGGCGGCAUGCCUAACACAUGCAAGUCGAACGAAGGCUUCGGCCUUAGUGGCGCACGGGUGCGUAACGCGUGGGAAUCUGCCCCUUGGUUCGGAAUAACAGUUAGAAAUGACUGCUAAUACCGGAUGAUGACGUAAGUCCAAAGAUUUAUCGCCGAGGGAUGAGCCCGCGUAGGAUUAGCUAGUUGGUGUGGUAAGAGCGCACCAAGGCGACGAUCCUUAGCUGGUCUGAGAGGAUGAUCAGCCACACUGGGACUGAGACACGGCCCAGACUCCUACGGGAGGCAGCAGUGGGGAAGAUUGGACAAUGGGCGAAAGCCUGAUCCAGCAAUGCCGCGUGAGUGAUGAAGGCCUUAGGGUUGUAAAGCUCUUUUACCCGGGAUGAUAAUGACAGUACCGGGAGAAUAAGCUCCGGCUAACUCCG